UGAGGAAGUAAAAGUCGUAACAAGGUUUCCGUAGGUGAACCUGCGGAAGGAUCAUUAAAAUGAGAAUCGGUUCGCGCUGCGUGGGGUAAAAUCCUCGUAGCGCGUUACCGUCAACCUCUACCCUUGUAUAUUAUUCAAUUGUUGCUUUGGCAGGCCGCGAGCCUUUACGGUGAGCACCGGCUUCGGCUGGAGAGUGCCUGCCAGAGGACCCCAACUCUGUAUUAUAUGAAGUCUGAGUACUAUUAAAUAGUUAAAACUUUCAACAACGGAUCUCUUGGUUCUGGCAUCGAUGAAGAACGCAGCGAAAUGCGAUAAGUAAUGUGAAUUGCAGAAUUCAGUGAAUCAUCGAAUCUUUGAACGCACAUUGCGCCCUCUGGUAUUCCGGGGGGCAUGCCUGUUCGAGCGUCAUUAUAUACCAAUCACGCAAGUGGUCUUGGGGCUUGCCGUCUGGCAUCCCUUAAAACUAGUGGCAGUGCUAUAGGCUCUCAGCGUAGUAAUUAUUCCGCUUUUGAGUCCUAGAAACACCCGCCAAAACCCCAACUUUCUUAGGUUGACCUCGGAUCAGGUAGGGAUACCCGCUGAACUUAAGCAUAUCAA
RNAcentral lists this ribosomal RNA (597 nucleotides) under Arachnopeziza sp. L30-NN-2016. Its description in RNAcentral is "eukaryotic LSU rRNA". The stretch from base 255 to 408 matches the Rfam family "5.8S ribosomal RNA". Lineage: Eukaryota; Fungi; Ascomycota; Leotiomycetes; Helotiales; Arachnopezizaceae. The record is from RNAcentral.